UGGUGGAGCGAUUUGUCUGCUUAAUUGCGAUAACGAACGAGACCUUUUCCUGUUAAAUAGAAGCACGGAACGCAAGUUCCGCUGCGUCUUCUUAAAGGGACGAUGGGUGAUUUAUAACAAGCAAUCCAUGGAAGCAGGAGGCAAUAACA
This 149-nucleotide ribosomal RNA is filed under the name uncultured eukaryote. RNAcentral's name for it is "partial 18S ribosomal RNA". It matches the Rfam family "Eukaryotic small subunit ribosomal RNA", at positions 1299 to 1458 of the family's 1831-position model. The record is from RNAcentral.